AACGAACGCUGGCGGCAUGCCUAACACAUGCAAGUCGAACGAGACCUUCGGGUCUAGUGGCGCACGGGUGCGUAACGCGUGGGAACCUGCCCUUAGGUUCGGAAUAACUCCCCGAAAGGGGUGCUAAUACCGGAUAAUGUCUUCGGACCAAAGAUUUAUCGCCUUUGGAUGGGCCCGCGUUGGAUUAGCUAGUUGGUAGGGUAAAAGCCUACCAAGGCGACGAUCCAUAGCUGGUCUGAGAGGAUGAUCAGCCACACUGGGACUGAGACACGGCCCAGACCCCCAAGGGGGGGGAGGGUGGGGGAAAUUGGGCAAUGGGGGAAAACCUUGACCAGGCAAGGCCCGGGGGGUGAAAAAGGCUUUGGGUUUGUAAAGCUCUUUUCCCCGGGAUGAAAAUGACAGGACGGGGAGAAUAAGCCGCGGCAAACCCCGU
RNAcentral lists this ribosomal RNA (433 nucleotides) under uncultured bacterium. RNAcentral describes it as "partial 16S ribosomal RNA". It matches the Rfam family "Bacterial small subunit ribosomal RNA", at positions 29 to 506 of the family's 1533-position model. The record is from RNAcentral.